Molecule: ribosomal RNA, 906 nt
Filed under: uncultured Flavobacteriaceae bacterium
Lineage: Bacteria; Pseudomonadati; Bacteroidota; Flavobacteriia; Flavobacteriales; Flavobacteriaceae
Description: bacterial SSU rRNA
Rfam family: Bacterial small subunit ribosomal RNA
Source: RNAcentral
GCAAGUCGAGGGGUAUCCUAGCAAUAGGAGAGACCGGCGCACGGGUGCCUAACGCGUAUGCAAUCUACCUUUCACAAAGGGAUAGCCCAGAGAAAUUUGGAUUAAUACCUUAUAGUAUAGCGAGUUCGCAUGGAUUUGCUAUUAAAGAUUUAUCGGUGAAAGAUGAGCAUGCGUCCCAUUAGCUAGUUGGUAAGGUAACGGCUUACCAAGGCUACGAUGGGUAGGGGUCCUGAGAGGGAGAUCCCCCACACUGGUACUGAGACACGGACCAGACUCCUACGGGAGGCAGCAGUGAGGAAUAUUGGUCAAUGGGCGCAAGCCUGAACCAGCCAUGCCGCGUGCAGGAUGACGGUCCUAUGGAUUGUAAACUGCUUUUGUACAGGAAGAAACACUCGGACGUGUCCGAGCUUGACGGUACUGUAAGAAUAAGGAUCGGCUAACUCCGUGCCAGCAGCCGCGGUAAUACGGAGGAUCCAAGCGUUAUCCGGAAUCAUUGGGUUUAAAGGGUCCGUAGGCGGCUUAAUAAGUCAGUGGUGAAAUCCCUACGCUUAACGUAGGAACGGCCAUUGAUACUGUUAGGCUUGAAUUAUUAGGAAGUAACUAGAAUAUGUAGUGUAGCGGUGAAAUGCUUAGAGAUUACAUGGAAUACCAAUUGCGAAGGCAGGUUACUACUAAUUGAUUGACGCUGAUGGACGAAAGCGUGGGUAGCGAACAGGAUUAGAUACCCUGGUAGUCCACGCCGUAAACGAUGGAUACUAGCUGUUGGGAGCAAUCUCAGUGGCUAAGCGAAAGUGAUAAGUAUCCCACCUGGGGAGUACGUUCGCAAGAAUGAAACUCAAAGGAAUUGACGGGGGCCCGCACAAGCGGUGGAGCAUGUGGUUUAAUUCGAUGAUACGCGAGGAACCU